GACGAACGCUGGCGGCGUGCUUAACACAUGCAAGUCGAACGGAAAGGCCCUGCUUUUGUGGGGUGCUCGAGUGGCGAACGGGUGAGUAACACGUGAGUAACCUGCCCUUGACUUUGGGAUAACUUCAGGAAACUGGGGCUAAUACCGGAUAGGAGCUCCUGCUGCAUGGUGGGGGUUGGAAAGUUUCGGCGGUUGGGGAUGGACUCGCGGCUUAUCAGCUUGUUGGUGGGGUAGUGGCUUACCAAGGCUUUGACGGGUAGCCGGCCUGAGAGGGUGACCGGCCACAUUGGGACUGAGAUACGGCCCAGACUCCUACGGGAGGCAGCAGUGGGGAAUAUUGCAAAAUGGGCGGAAGCCAGAUGCAGCAACGCCGCGUGCGGGAUGACGGCCUUCGGGUUGUAAACCGCUUUCGCCUGUGACGAAGCGUGAGUGACGGUAAUGGGUAAAGAAGCACCGGAUAACUACGUG
RNAcentral lists this ribosomal RNA (468 nucleotides) under uncultured bacterium. Its description in RNAcentral is "partial 16S ribosomal RNA". It matches the Rfam family "Bacterial small subunit ribosomal RNA", at positions 28 to 507 of the family's 1533-position model. The record is from RNAcentral.